RNAcentral lists this ribosomal RNA (405 nucleotides) under Triticum aestivum (bread wheat). RNAcentral describes it as "partial small subunit ribosomal RNA". Lineage: Eukaryota; Viridiplantae; Streptophyta; Magnoliopsida; Poales; Poaceae. The record is from RNAcentral.
AUGGACAUCAUAAGCCUUGAAGAGGCACUGAAGAAUUUUUUAGAGCGGCGUAAGUAUUUGAUCAUGUUGGGUGAUGUUUGGACUCCUGAAGCAUUUCAUGAUCUUUCUAGGGUGGUUAUUCGUGACAAGAAGGGCAAUAGAAUUGUAAUCACAACCAGGGAAGGCAAUGUUGCUCGACUUGCUUCUCAAGGACAGAUCUUAACACUAAAACCUCUAUCAAAGGAUGGAUCAUGGGAACUCUUCUGUAAGACAGCUUUUCCUAGAGAUACCAAAUGUGAGUGUCCCACAGAACUGAUAGAAUUAGCACAUGAAGUGGUUGACAAGUGUAAAGGCAUAACCCUCGCAAUUGUCUCUAUUGGCAAGCUCCUCUUUGUACGUGACAAGACCAAAGAGGAACUAAAGUGA